CGGAUUAGGCAUGCAAGUCGAACGGAGGUAGGGGCAACUCUACUUCAGUGGCGGACGGGUGAGGAAUGCGUCGGAAUCUACCCUAUGGUGGGGGAUAACACAGGGAAACUUGUGCUAAUACCGCAUGAUGUCGAGAGACCAAAGCAGGGGACCGCAAGGCCUUGCGCGAUAGGAUGAGCCGACGCCCGAUUAGCUAGUUGGUAGGGUAAUGGCCUACCAAGGCGACGAUCGGUAGCUGGUCUGAGAGGAUGAUCAGCCACACUGGGACUGAGACACGGCCCAGACUCCUACGGGAGGCAGCAGUGGGGAAUAUUGGACAAUGGGCGAAAGCCUGACCGAGCGACGCCGCGUGAGGGAUUGAAGGCCUUCGGGUUGUAAACCUCUUUCGUAGAGGAGGAAGGGGCCGUGAAGAACGGUCUUUGACCUAUUCUAGGAAGAAGCUUGGGCUAAGUUCGUGCCAGCAGCCGCGGUAAUA
Molecule: ribosomal RNA, 475 nt
Filed under: uncultured bacterium
Lineage: Bacteria
Description: bacterial SSU rRNA
Rfam family: Bacterial small subunit ribosomal RNA
Source: RNAcentral